RNAcentral lists this ribosomal RNA (441 nucleotides) under uncultured bacterium. RNAcentral's name for it is "partial 16S ribosomal RNA". It matches the Rfam family "Bacterial small subunit ribosomal RNA", at positions 338 to 795 of the family's 1533-position model. The record is from RNAcentral.
CCUACGGGAGGCAGCAGUGGGGGAUAUUGCACAAUGGGGGAAACCCUGAUGCAGCGACGCCGCGUGUAGGAAGACGGUCCUCUGGAUUGUAAACUCCUUUUGUUAGAGAAGAUUAUGACGGUAUCUAACGACUCAGCACCGGCUAACUCCGUGCCAGCAGCCGCGGUAAUACGGAGGGUGCAAGCGUUACUCGGAAUCACUGGGCGUAAAGAGUGCGUAGGCGGGGUAAUAAGUCAGAUGUGAAAUCCUGUAGCUUAACUACAGAACUGCAUUUGAAACUGUUACUCUGGAGUGUGGGAGAGGUAGGUGGAAUUCUUGGUGUAGGGGUAAAAUCCGUAGAGAUCAAGAGGAAUACUCAUUGCGAAGGCGACCUGCUGGAACAUGACUGACGCUGAUGCACGAAAGCGUGGGGAGCAAACAGGAUUAGAUACCCCAGUAGUC